GAAUGUCAAAUUUCUAGUAUGAGAAAUUAACGAUUUAAGUCCUUCUUAAAUGAGGCCAUUUACCCAUAGAGGGUGCCAGGCCCGUAUAACGUUAAUGAUUACUAGAUGACAUUUCCAAAGAGUCGUGUUGCUUGAUAGUGCAGCACUAAGUGGGUGGUAAACUCCAUCUAAAACUAAAUAUAACCAUGAGACCGAUAGUAAACAAGUACCGUGAGGGAAAGUUGAAAAGAACUCUGAAUAGAGAGUUAAAUAGUACGUGAAACUGCUUAGAGGUUAAGCCCGAUGAACCUGAAUAUCCGUUAUAGAAAAUUCAUCAUUAUGAUUUUAAUAUUUAUACAUAUUAUAAUAAUGGUGUGCAUUUUUUCUAUAAAGGACAUUGUAAUCUAUUAAUAUUGUAAUAUUUAUCAUAAGAUCAAUAUGCGUAAGUUUAUUCAAAUUAUUUUGCUUGCAAUUUAAUAUAGAAUAAAUGCUUUUGAUUUGAUAAAGUAUUGAUAGAUUUAUUAUAUAUAGUGCUUAAAUAAAUUUAUAUUUUAUAAUGGCAUAUUAAUCAUUGAUUUUUAUGUUUAUUAUAUGCACUUAUAUGAUUAACAAUGCGAAAGAUUCAGGAUACCUUCGGGACCCGUCUUGAAACACGGACCAAGGAGUCUAACAUAUUUGCAAGUUAUUGGGAAUAAAAAACCUAAUAGCGUAAUUAACAUAACUUUAAAUGGGAUUAGUUUUUAGUCUAUUUUUAAUAGCCUAUUAAUUCAAUCCCGGGGCGUUCUAUACAGUUAUGUAUAAUAAUAUUUAUAUUAUUUAUACCUCUAACUAGAGCGUACCUUGAGCAUAUAUGCUGUGACCCGAAAGAUGGUGAACUAUACUUGAUCAGGUUGAAGUCAGGGGAAACCCUGAUGGAAGACCGAAACAGUUCUGACGUGCAAAUCGAUUGUCAGAAUUGAGUAUAGGGGCGAAAGACCAAUCGAACCAUCUAGUAGCUGGUUCCCUCCGAAGUUUCCCUCAGGAUAGCUGGUGCAUUUAAAAUUUAUGUAAAAUAAUCUUAUCUGGUAAAGCGAAUGAUUAGAGGCCUUAGGGUCGAAACGAUCUUAACCUAUUCUCAAACUUUAAAUGGGUAAGAACCUCACCUUUCUUGGUAUGAAGGUUGUGGUUGUGAUAUAAUGUGCCCAGUGGGCCACUUUUGGUAAGCAGAACUGGCGCUGUGGGAUGAACCAAACGUAAUGUUACGGUGCCCAAAUUAACAACUCAUGCAGAUACCAUGAAA
This 1258-nucleotide ribosomal RNA is filed under the name Gymnosoma rotundatum. RNAcentral's name for it is "eukaryotic LSU rRNA". It matches the Rfam family "Eukaryotic large subunit ribosomal RNA", at positions 156 to 1219 of the family's 3401-position model. Lineage: Eukaryota; Metazoa; Arthropoda; Insecta; Diptera; Tachinidae. The record is from RNAcentral.